GAAAGAGGAACGACGCGUAUUAAUCUAGAUAAGGAUAAAAUCUCAUAAGACACGAUACUUUUAUGAGAAAUAAGAUUUUCUUCUGUGAUUCUUUUUUGCAAUAACACAUAAAUAUUUAAACUUAUGCAAAUAUUUUAUUGGAUAUGUAUUAUGAAAUAAUAUAUAUAUAUAUAUAUUAUUAUUAUCUGUGUACAUUUUUACUGCCUUAUUAAUUUUACACGCAGAAGUGUUAUUCUUCGUAAACCUUACCGUACUAAAUCUUCUUUUGUUCUAUCGUAACGUUACAUAUUCCAGGUUUUGUAGGUAUUACAGUCAGUGUACAUAUUCCGGUCGUUGUAUAAAUUGCUCUACUCAUUCUAUAAAAUAGUCAGACGAUUUUAGUCAGUCUAUAAUAUAAAAUGUGCUUUAGUGGAGUGUGUUUGAAAAACGUUGGUUCAACGUUCAAUCAAUAUUUUUAGAGAUAUUGAAGCGUGAAGAUUUACGGUCACCCCUAUAGAUUUCACAUUAGGUUAUUGCGAUCUUGUCCCAAUGUCAUCAAAACAAAUGAAUAUUGAAAAGCAAGCGGUGUUUGAUCAGUCAUGUUGAACUUCAUAAUCUAACCAUAGUUAGAUUGUUCUUUCACGUGCUAAUUUGUGCAGUGUUCUUUUAGAUACUUUUAUUUCUUUUCAAACUUGGUAUAUUUUGAACAUAAAGAAAAAUUAACCAAUUAGCUGUGAUUUACGAGUAUAGUUGUCACGGGGAAAUUGCAAUAUUUUGUGUUUUGACGAGUAUAUUCGUCAUGUGGAAAAAGUAUUAACCAUUUGUUAUUUGAAUGUCAAUGACAAGCUAUCUCGAGGACGUUUAAACCUCUGCUCGGAAGGCAAUAAAACGAAGAAAUGCACAUGUUUCGUCUUUGGGUUUUUUAACUGUGCAAGUACA
Molecule: long non-coding RNA, 918 nt
Filed under: Polistes fuscatus (common paper wasp)
Lineage: Eukaryota; Metazoa; Arthropoda; Insecta; Hymenoptera; Vespidae
Description: uncharacterized LOC122523912
Source: RNAcentral